UUUUCUUUCUACUGCUUGCAUUAGUAUUUUGCUACUGUUGUAGUUAGCUCCUAUAUCUGAUGCAUAGCCUGUUUUUGAUGAACUGCUACUUUCAGCACUGUACUUUAAAUCUGCAUAGUAUAGGUGGAACAUUCAUCCCCUCUGACCCCGUAGUCCAAUUGCUACGCUUGUUUACAACUCUCGAUCACUCAUCGACGAGCCAGACCCGGCACAACACAUACACC
RNAcentral lists this long non-coding RNA (224 nucleotides) under Hordeum vulgare. RNAcentral describes it as "long non-coding RNA (HVUL_LNC015763)". The record is from RNAcentral. Lineage: Eukaryota; Viridiplantae; Streptophyta; Magnoliopsida; Poales; Poaceae.